This is a long non-coding RNA of Mobula hypostoma (lesser devil ray), 671 nucleotides long. RefSeq lists it as uncharacterized. Lineage: Eukaryota; Metazoa; Chordata; Chondrichthyes; Myliobatiformes; Myliobatidae. The transcript is spliced from 3 exons. The record is from RefSeq and is a predicted model, not a curated record.
UCAUUCACUUCUGUUUCAUUUAUCAGCUCCUUAUUUUGUUUGCUUAGAAUAUGUAUGUUUCUUUGUACUUUAAAACAAACGAUCGUUAAGAAUUUAAGACUGCUUGUCAUUCCUGAGUUCCAGAAGAACCCGCAGGAUCAGAAAAUAAACAGAAAUCCAACAAUGGCUAUACUUCCAUUGGAGGCAGUUCAGACGUUGAACUAAGUUGUUUCUUGGAAUUAAACACUACGUUGGGUUGAGCAGAUGUUCCAGGAUUGAGAGAAGAGCCAAUGAAAUAGCAUCUGCUGUUGACCGGUUGUGACCAUAGGCAAGUUGGAUCGGAUCCAAGUCACUUCUCAGUUGGGAGUUGAUAUGUUUUGUCACCAACCUCUCAAGGCAACUUUCAUCAGAGUGGAUUUGGCAAUCGGAAAAAGCAGAAGUUGAUGUGGGAACGACAAGAAGAGCUGGAAUGACAUGUCAUUGAUAGCUCAAGAUGGAAAUUUGCAGGUAGACUGCAGUCACCUGUAGUUGCCUCGUCAAAACUUACAGAUGCAGAUUACAUCUUGCAGAUGCAGAGUUCACAUUGUAAUCACUGAAUGCCACAUACUAGGCUGGAGAGGAUGCCUGCAAUUUUUUGCCAUACCUAUAAUCUUUGUACCAAAUAAGUAAUCGUCAUAUUUCUGUACACACAA